ACUCAAAUGAAUAGACGGGGACCCGCACAAGCGGUGGAUGAUGUGGAUUAAUUCGAUGCAACGCGAAUAACCUUACCUACCCUUGACAUGUCCUGAACCCUGCUGAGAGGCGGGGGUGCCCGAAAGGGAACGGGAACACAGGUGCUGCAUGGCUGUCGUCAGCUCGUGUCGUGAGAUGUUGGGUUAAGUCCCGCAACGAGCGCAACCCUUAUCAUUAGUUGCUACGGUAACGGGCACUCUAAUGAGACUGCCGGUGACAAACCGGAGGAAGGUGGGGAUGACGUCAAGUCCUCAUGGCCCUUAUGGGUAGGGCUUCACACGUCAUACAAUGGCCGGUACAGAGGGUUGCCAAGCAGCGAUGCGGAGCCAAUCCCAGAAAGCCGGUCGUAGUCCGGAUUGCAGUCUGCAACUCGACUGCAUGAAGUCGGAAUCGCUAGUAAUCGCGGAUCAGCAUGUCGCGGUGAAUACGUUCCCGGGUCUUGUACACACCGCCCGU
Molecule: ribosomal RNA, 496 nt
Filed under: uncultured bacterium
Lineage: Bacteria
Description: partial 16S ribosomal RNA
Rfam family: Bacterial small subunit ribosomal RNA
Source: RNAcentral